AACUGGUCGAAGUGCUGGGUUUCAAACGAUCGAUUGAGACGUACAUUGACGUAGGUAAUUUCGGAACGUGCUCCAUUGGUUCUGGUCGGAUCCGAUUGUUUAGCUGGACCUAAUCAUGCGCUGACUUAUCUAUCUAUACCCUACUAAUAUACCAACUUUUUUCUAUCUAUACCCUACUAAUAAUACACUAACUUUUUCAUUGCUUGGUCCACCCCAUAUAAACUCCCCCGCUGAGAAAACUCUCCUUUAUGCACCCC
This 257-nucleotide long non-coding RNA is filed under the name Sorghum bicolor (sorghum). RNAcentral describes it as "long non-coding RNA (SBIC_LNC017938)". Lineage: Eukaryota; Viridiplantae; Streptophyta; Magnoliopsida; Poales; Poaceae. The record is from RNAcentral.